This 403-nucleotide ribosomal RNA is filed under the name uncultured bacterium. Its description in RNAcentral is "bacterial SSU rRNA". It matches the Rfam family "Bacterial small subunit ribosomal RNA", at positions 355 to 775 of the family's 1533-position model. The record is from RNAcentral.
UGGGGAAUAUUGGACAAUGGGCGGAAGCCUGACCCAGCAACGCCGCGUGGGUGACGAAGGCCUUCGGGUUGUAAAGCCCUUUUCUGGGGGAAGAUGAUGACGGUACCCCAGGAAGAAGCACCGGCUAACUACGUGCCAGCAGCCGCGGUAAUACGUAGGGUGCGAGCGUUGCCCGGAUUUAUUGGGCGUAAAGGGCGCGCAGGCGGCCGAGCGCGUCCGUUGUGAAAUCGCCUGGCUCAACUGGGCGGGGACAGCGGAUACGGCUGGGCUGGAGCAAGCUAGGGGGCAAUGGAAUUCCCGGUGUAGUGGUGGAAUGCGUAGAUAUCGGGAGGAACACCAGUGGCGAAGGCGGUUGCCUGGAGCUUUGCUGACGCUGAGGCGCGAAAGCGUGGGGAGCGAUCCG